This 468-nucleotide ribosomal RNA is filed under the name uncultured bacterium. RNAcentral's name for it is "partial 16S ribosomal RNA". It matches the Rfam family "Bacterial small subunit ribosomal RNA", at positions 28 to 507 of the family's 1533-position model. The record is from RNAcentral.
GACGAACGCUGGCGGCGUGCUUAACACAUGCAAGUCGAACGGAAAGGCCCGGCUUUUGUGGGGUGCUCGAGUGGCGAACGGGUGAGUAACACGUGAGUAACAUGCCCUUGACUUUGGGAUAACUUCAGGAAACUGGGGCGAAUACCGGAUAGGAGCUCCUGCUGCAUGGUGGGGGUUGGAAAGUUUCGGCGGUUGGGGAUGGACUCGCGGCUUAUCAGCUUGUUGGUGGGGUAGUGGCUUACCAAGGCUUUGACGGGUAGCCGGCCUGAGAGGGUGACCGGCCACAUUGGGACUGCGAUACGGCCCAGACUCCUACGGGAGGCAGCAGUGGGGAAUAUUGCACAAUGGGCCGAAGCCUGAUGCAGCAACGCCGCGUGCGGGAUGACGGCCUUCGGGUUGUAAACCGCUUUCGCCUGUGACGAAGCGUGAGUGACGGUAAUGGGUAAAGAAGCACCGGCUAACUACGUG